GAAUCCGCUAAGGAGUGUGUAACAACUCACCUGCCGAAUGAAUUAGCCCUGAAAAUGGAUGGCGCUUAAGCGGGUGACCGACACCAUACCGUUUGGACAAAGUGGCUUUCCAAAUGAGUAGGAGGGCGCGGCGGUCGUAACGAAGCGUAUGUGCAAACGUGCGUGGAACGGCCCCCGGUGCAGAUCUUGGUGUUAGUAGCAAAUAUUCAAUUGAGAACCUUGAAUGGCGAAGCGGGGAAGGGUUCCACGCGAACAUUGAUUGUGCGUGGGUGAGUCGUUCCUAAACUGAGUGGUAAUCGCUAAUUAUCAGUGAAAGGGAAGCAGGUUGAAAUUCCUGCACACGGAUGUAGUGGCGGUGACGCACCAUCAGGAGCAAUGACGCUCGCGGUGGAUCUGGGCAGAGUUUUCUUUUCUGUUUGACCGUUCCCAGGUACUCUGUGGAAUCCGCUUGUCGGGAGAAACAGGUAUUGAUGGGCAAAGCGCCGGGGAUUUUCCGGCGUCCAGAUCUCCAUCGAGGGCCCUUGAAAAAUUGCUUGCUGGCAUAAUGGCUUUACGCCAUUAUGUGGAAAAAUCUCUACGCCGUAACGUACCCAUAACCGCAUCAGGUCCCCAAGGUGAACAGCCUCUGCCAAAUAUGAUUAAUGCAGGUAAGGGAAGUCGGCA
RNAcentral lists this ribosomal RNA (663 nucleotides) under Lejolisia pacifica. RNAcentral's name for it is "eukaryotic LSU rRNA". It matches the Rfam family "Eukaryotic large subunit ribosomal RNA", at positions 1264 to 1919 of the family's 3401-position model. The record is from RNAcentral. Lineage: Eukaryota; Rhodophyta; Florideophyceae; Ceramiales; Ceramiaceae.